RNAcentral lists this ribosomal RNA (253 nucleotides) under uncultured bacterium. RNAcentral describes it as "partial 16S ribosomal RNA". It matches the Rfam family "Bacterial small subunit ribosomal RNA", at positions 524 to 776 of the family's 1533-position model. The record is from RNAcentral.
UACAGAGGGGGCAAGCGUUGUUCGGAAUUACUGGGCAUAAAGGGCGCGUAGGCGGCCUGUUAAGUCGAACGUGAAAUCCCCGGGCUCAACCCGGGAACUGCGUCCGAUACUGGCAGGCUCGAAUCCGGGAGAGGGAUGCGGAAUUCCUGGUGUAGCGGUGAAAUGCGCAGAUAUCAGGAAGAACACCCGUGGCGAAGGCGGCUCUCUGGGACGGUACUGACGCUGAGACGCGAAAGCGUGGGGAGCGAACAGG